UACAGAGGUGGCAAGCGUUGUUCGGAAUUACUGGGCGUAAAGGGCGCGUAGGCGGCCUUCUAAGUCAGACGUGAAAUCCCCCGGCUUAACCUGGGAACUGCGUCCGAUACUGGAAGGCUUGAAUCCGGGAGAGGGAUGUGGAAUUCCAGGUGUAGCGGUGAAAUGCGUAGAUAUCUGGAGGAACACCGGUGGCGAAGGCGGCAUUCUGGACCGACAUUGACGCUGAGGAGCGAAAGCCAGGGGAGCAAACGGG
This 253-nucleotide ribosomal RNA is filed under the name uncultured bacterium. Its description in RNAcentral is "partial 16S ribosomal RNA". It matches the Rfam family "Bacterial small subunit ribosomal RNA", at positions 524 to 776 of the family's 1533-position model. The record is from RNAcentral.